GCCUCGCGGGGGGUGCCUCCUCCCCCUGCGAUGGGGGUCGUAAGAGCCACUGGGGGAAUAGGGGCUUGCUCUCAGUCACCGCCUCGCGGGGGGUGCCUCCUUUCCUUUCUACAUAGACACAGUGACAGUCUGAUCUCUCUUUCUUUUCCCUACAGAUGGACACGCCCCCACUGAUAUUGUUUUUAAUGCAGCGUGGGAGGGGAGGAUAUGACACGCGAUAUCGCAGCCUCCCAAAGUGCUGGGAUUGCAGGUGCGAGCCACCGGGUCCAGCCUCUCAGGCGAUUUUCAUACCUGCAUACUCUGAUCACUACUCUGUUAAACAGUCAAGGAGGCUGAGUGCCACGUGCUGACGUCACUAAGAUCAAUACAGCAAACUCUGAAAGAUGGACAGAGAGACAGGAGAUGGUCCUUUAUAAUGCAGUGUGAUCUGUGCUGCAAUAGAGAUGGAAGAGUGUUCUGAUUGGCUGGAAAACAAUGCACAUGGGAAGCUGUACAGAAAUGAGUGGGGAAAGGUAAUACUUAACAGCAACAGCAGUUAAUAUUUAGUGCCCACUUACGACAUGCUGGACACAGUUCCGGGUACUCUGAACAUAUUCGCUCAUUUAAUCUUUACAACAACCCUAUGAGGUAGGUACUAUUAUUAUCCCCAUUUUCAGGUGAGGAAUCUGAGGCACAGAGAGAGUAAGUAUGUUGCCCAGGGCCACGCACCAAGUAUGUGGUAGGUCCUGGAGUUGAAUGCAG
This 741-nucleotide long non-coding RNA is filed under the name Homo sapiens (human). RNAcentral's name for it is "non-protein coding lnc-PGM5-2:9". Lineage: Eukaryota; Metazoa; Chordata; Mammalia; Primates; Hominidae. The record is from RNAcentral.